GUCAGUAUGGCAUAAUGGUUUGAGUGCUGGACUAUGACUCUGGAGACCAGGGUUCGAUUCCCGACUGAUC
This 70-nucleotide transfer RNA is filed under the name Phrynosoma platyrhinos (Desert horned lizard). Its description in RNAcentral is "tRNA-OTHER". Lineage: Eukaryota; Metazoa; Chordata; Lepidosauria; Squamata; Phrynosomatidae. The record is from RNAcentral.